Molecule: long non-coding RNA, 839 nt
Organism: Prunus persica (peach)
Lineage: Eukaryota; Viridiplantae; Streptophyta; Magnoliopsida; Rosales; Rosaceae
Exons: 2
Source: RefSeq, a predicted model, not a curated record
AAAAAGGAAAUGCUGGAGCUAAUUUGUCCAUCAAGUUUCAAUUUUUACACCCAUUUCUUAAACUUAGGCAAAGCUAACUUGAGUGAAGCAAAUGAAGAACCAAAAACAGCAAUAUAGGGAGAGUAUGAUCUCACCAAAAUGAAUGAAACUACAGUAUGACGCGGAAGAACACCACCAAUCGAACACAGUUCCUGCUGUAAUUCACAAAAGAAGACGUCCACGGCAUCUUCAUUUUACUUCUUCAAUACCAAGUCAAUGGUAAAGAGAUUUUCUAUUUAAACCCCACUGUGAUGUGAAGCCAAGCAAUAUACUACUAGAUGAUGAUAUGGUUGCACAUGUUGCUGAUUUUGGCCCUGCAAGACUCUUAGGUGGAGGAGAUUCUAUGACCCUAGCCACAAUUGGGUAUAUGGCUCCAGGGGGGAUGUGUAUAGUUUCGGUGUUGUACUGAUGGAGACUUUCACAAAAAGGAAGCCAACAGAUGAGAUGUUUGUUGAUAUGGAUUGCAAAUUCCUUGUUUCCAGAUGCUGAAAUAGUUGAAGUUGCGGAUGCCGAUUUAUUUGGGACAGAGGAAGAUCAGGAUUUUGUGAGCAAGAGGGAUUGCUUAUCAUCCAUUAUGUGAGAUUAGCUCUAGCUCGUUCCGCAGAAUUUCCAAAAGAGAGGAUGCAAGAUGUUGUUGUCACACUCAAUAAAAUCAAGAUUAAGUUUUUGAAUGACUGUGCUGGAGUGCAGCCUUUGUUUUUCUAGUUGUUUUGUUUUUUUGUUUUGGAUCCGUUUUCUUGUUGUUUUCGAUCUGAAAAGACUGCAUUAAUUUGUCAUAAAGAGUUGCCUUUCUCCACUAA